ACGGCGUGCCUUUUGCAUAAUGAGUCUGCGAGUUAUUGUCUGUGGCAAGCCUAAGUUCUUCUGGAAUGGAGGCGAAGCGAAAGCGAGUGUGAAAUGCGCGUUUAGUGGCAGGCGAUAGACCCGAAGCGGAGGUGAUCUACUCAUGAGCAGGUUGAAGCUGCGGUAACACGCAGUGAAGGACCGAACCGGUGUAUGUUGAAAAAUGCUCGGAUGACUUGUGAGUAGGAGCGAAAGACUAAUCAAACCCCGUAAUAGCUGGUUCUCUCCGAAAUAGCUUGAGGGCUAGCGUCGGAUAAGUACUCCGAGGAGGUAGAGCGCUGGAUGGACUAGGGCCCAUACCCGGGUACCAAAACCAAUCAAACUCCGAAUGCCUCGGAUCUCAUUACCCCGGCAGUCAGUCGGCGAGGGAUAAGCUUCGUCGGCGCGAGGGAAACAUCCCAGACCGCCAGCUAAGGUGCCUAAAUAUGAUUAAGUGGAAAGGAUGUGACGUUGCUUAGACAGUGAGGAUGUUGGCUUAGAGGCAGCCACCAUUUAAACAAUGCGUAAUAGCUGACUCAUCGAGCGAUGUUGCGCCGAAAAUGAUUGGCGAUUAAAUCAUAUACCGAAGCUGCGGAUUUGCAGUGGAUUCGUCCGCUGUAAGUGGUAGGAGAGCGUAAUCAACGUUGUGAAGCUCGACGGUAACGGAAAGUGGAGCGUUGAUUAGUGAGAAUGCAGACAUGAGUAGCGAGAGACAGGUGUGAAUCCUGUCCGCUGAAUGACUAAGGGUUCCGG
Molecule: ribosomal RNA, 771 nt
Filed under: Cyclophora tenuis
Lineage: Eukaryota; Bacillariophyta; Fragilariophyceae; Cyclophorales; Cyclophoraceae
Description: partial Bacterial large subunit ribosomal RNA
Rfam family: Bacterial large subunit ribosomal RNA
Source: RNAcentral